This 495-nucleotide ribosomal RNA is filed under the name uncultured bacterium. RNAcentral's name for it is "partial 16S ribosomal RNA". It matches the Rfam family "Bacterial small subunit ribosomal RNA", at positions 28 to 507 of the family's 1533-position model. The record is from RNAcentral.
GACGAACGCUGGCGGCGUGCCUAAUACAUGCAAGUAGAACGCUGAAGGAGGAGCUUGCUCUUCUGGAUUAGUUGCGACCGGGUGAGUAACGCUUAGGUAACCUGCCUGUUACCGUGGGAUAACUUUUUGAAACGUUAGCUAAUACCGCAUAAGAUUUCAUGUUUCUUGACAUUUACUUAAAAGUUUCACUUGCUUCACUACCACUUGGCUAUUCGUUGUAUUAUCUAGUUGUUGGGUUAACGGAUUACCAUGGAGAGUAUACAUAGCGGACCUGCGAGGGGGAUCGGCCAAACUGGGACGGAGACACGACCCAGACUCCUACGGGAGGCAGCCGUAGGGAAUCUUCAGCAAUGGACGGAAGACUGACCGAGAAACGCCGCGUGAGUGAAGAAGGUUGUCGGAUCGUAAAGCUCUGUUAUAAGAUAAGAACGAGUAUGAGAGUGAAAAGUUCACACUGUGACGGUAACUUAACAGAAAGCGACGGCUAACUACGUG